CUCCGGUUGAUCCUGCCGGACCCGACUGCUAUCAGAGUGGGACUAAGCCAUGCGAGUCAACAUAGCAAUAUGUGGCAUACGGCUCAGUAACACGUAGUCAACAUGCCCAGGGGACGUGGAUAACCUCGGGAAACUGAGGAUAAACCGCGAUAGGUCAUCACUUCUGGAAUGGGUAAUGACUUAAAUCUAUAUGGCCCCUGGAUUGGACUGCGGCCGAUCAGGCUGUUGGUGAGGUAAUGGCCCACCAAACCUGUAACCGGUACGGGCUCUGAGAGGAGGAGCCCGGAGAUGGGCACUGAGACAAGGGCCCAGGCCCUAUGGGGCGCAGCAGGCGCGAAACCUCUGCAAUAGGCGAAAGCUUGACAGGGUUACUCUGAGUGAUUUCCGUUAAGGAGAUCUUUUGGCACCUCUAAAAAUGGUGCAGAAUAAGGGGUGGGCAAGUCUGGUGUCAGCCGCCGCGGUAAUACCAGCACCCCGAGUGGUCGGGACGCUUAUUGGGCCUAAAGCAUCCGUAGCCGGUUCUACAAGUCUUCCGUUAAAUCCACCUGCUUAACAGAUGGGCUGCGGAAGAUACUAUAGAGCUAGGAGGCGGGAGAGGCAAGCGGUACUCGAUGGGUAGGGGUAAAAUCCGUUGAUCCAUUGAAGACCACCAGUGGCGAAGGCGGCUUGCCAGAACGCGCUCGACGGUGAGGGAUGAAAGCUGGGGGAGCAAACCGGAUUAGAUACCCGGGUAGUCCCAGCUGUAAACGAUGCAGACUCGGUGAUGAGUUGGCUUAUUGCUAACUCAGUGCCGCAGGGAAGCCGUUAAGUUUGCAGGCUGGGCAGUACGGUCGCAAGACUGAAACUUAAACUCUAAUGCGGGGGAGCA
This 868-nucleotide ribosomal RNA is filed under the name uncultured archaeon. RNAcentral's name for it is "bacterial SSU rRNA". It matches the Rfam family "Archaeal small subunit ribosomal RNA", at positions 1 to 878 of the family's 1478-position model. The record is from RNAcentral.